UACGGAGGGGACUAGCGUUGUUCGGAAUUACUGGGCGUAAAGCGCACGUAGGCGGAUUGUUAAGUCAGGGGUGAAAUCCCGAGGCUCAACCUCGGAACUGCCUUUGAUACUGGCAAUCUCGAGUCCGGAAGAGGUGAGUGGAAUUCCUAGUGUAGAGGUGAAAUUCGUAGAUAUUAGGAAGAACACCAGUGGCGAAGGCGGCUCACUGGUCCGGUACUGACGCUGAGGCACGAAGGUCAGGGGAGCAAACGGG
RNAcentral lists this ribosomal RNA (253 nucleotides) under uncultured bacterium. RNAcentral's name for it is "partial 16S ribosomal RNA". It matches the Rfam family "Bacterial small subunit ribosomal RNA", at positions 524 to 776 of the family's 1533-position model. The record is from RNAcentral.